Molecule: non-coding RNA, 29 nt
Filed under: Rattus norvegicus (Norway rat)
Lineage: Eukaryota; Metazoa; Chordata; Mammalia; Rodentia; Muridae
Source: RNAcentral
UCCAGAGGCAAUGCCAAUGCGAUGUUGUC